Molecule: ribosomal RNA, 389 nt
Filed under: uncultured bacterium
Lineage: Bacteria
Description: bacterial SSU rRNA
Rfam family: Bacterial small subunit ribosomal RNA
Source: RNAcentral
GUGUCAGCAGCCGCGGUAAUACGUAGGGGGCAAACGUUGUCCGGAUUUACUGGGUGUAAAGGGUGCUCAGGCGGUCUUGUAAGUCAGAAGUGAAAUCCUAGAGCUUAACUCUGGAACUGCUUUUGAUACUGCAAGGCUUGAAUAUGGAAGAGGAGGGUGGAAUUUCUGGUGUAGCAGUGAAAUGCGUAGAUAUCAGAAAGAACACCAGUGGCGAAGGCGGCCCUCUGGUCCAUUAUUGACGCUAAAGCACGAAAGCGUGGGGAGCAAACAGGAUUAGAUACCCUGGUAGUCCACGCCUUAAACGAUGAAUACUAGACGUUGGGGUCAAACUCAGUGUCGCAGCUAACGCAUUAAGUAUUCCACCUGGGGAGUACGAUCGCAAGGUUGAA